CAGGCCUGGGGCAGGAGCAGAACUACUACAAAUGCAUUUUCACCUGGGUGAAAAGACUUGCAGCUAGAGCCAGGCUAAGAAGAUAGACCUGCUAUGAUAUACAUAGAAUCAUAGACUGGAAGUUUGCUCAACGCCACGUGGAAGCGGCCAAGGCGUGGGGCCUGCACCCUCUGAAGCAAUGCCUCAAGCUGUACCUUGGCCCAUUUUCACCAUGGCUGGAGCUGGAGCAGCAGGGACACAGGUCACCAAGUCACCAGGCUGCACACAGCAGUGGAGCCCUGGGCCUGACCCACAAUCUAUUUUUUCCUCCUAGGCUUCAGGACCUAUGAAGGGAGGGGCUGCCAUUAAGAUCUCUGACAUGCCUUGGAGACAUUUUCUUCAUUGUCUUGGUGAUUAACCUCUUUUCUUAUGCA
Long non-coding RNA from Homo sapiens (human), 413 nucleotides. RefSeq lists it as uncharacterized. Lineage: Eukaryota; Metazoa; Chordata; Mammalia; Primates; Hominidae. The transcript is spliced from 3 exons. The record is from RefSeq and is a predicted model, not a curated record.